Amblyraja radiata (thorny skate) is the source of this 125-nucleotide long non-coding RNA. RefSeq lists it as uncharacterized. The record is from RefSeq and is a predicted model, not a curated record. The transcript has 3 exons. Lineage: Eukaryota; Metazoa; Chordata; Chondrichthyes; Rajiformes; Rajidae.
UCCAUUCAUUUCAUUGGAUAACAUUCAUUUCUUUUCAUUCAUUUUUGAAUGACAAAUAAUUUCAAUUCAAUUCAAAAUGUACAGGUCUAUUACCAAGAAGUUCUUGGAAAAUUUCACAUUGUUUG